RNAcentral lists this ribosomal RNA (1349 nucleotides) under Micrococcus endophyticus. RNAcentral describes it as "bacterial SSU rRNA". It matches the Rfam family "Bacterial small subunit ribosomal RNA", at positions 75 to 1433 of the family's 1533-position model. Lineage: Bacteria; Bacillati; Actinomycetota; Actinomycetes; Micrococcales; Micrococcaceae. The record is from RNAcentral.
CCAGCUUGCUGGGUGGAUUAGUGGCGAACGGGUGAGUAACACGUGAGUAACCUGCCCUUGACUCUGGGAUAAGCCUGGGAAACUGGGUCUAAUACCGGAUAGGAACGUCCACCGCAUGGUGGGUGUUGGAAAGAUUUAUCGGUCAUGGAUGGACUCGCGGCCUAUCAGCUUGUUGGUGAGGUAAUGGCUCACCAAGGCGACGACGGGUAGCCGGCCUGAGAGGGUGACCGGCCACACUGGGACUGAGACACGGCCCAGACUCCUACGGGAGGCAGCAGUGGGGAAUAUUGCACAAUGGGCGAAAGCCUGAUGCAGCGACGCCGCGUGAGGGAUGACGGCCUUCGGGUUGUAAACCUCUUUCAGUAGGGAAGAAGCGAAAGUGACGGUACCUGCAGAAGAAGCACCGGCUAACUACGUGCCAGCAGCCGCGGUAAUACGUAGGGUGCGAGGCGUUAUCCGGAAUUAUUGGGCGUAAAGAGCUCGUAGGCGGUUUGUCGCGUCUGUCGUGAAAGUCCGGGGCUUAACCCCGGAUCUGCGGUGGGUACGGGCAGACUAGAGUGCAGUAGGGGAGACUGGAAUUCCUGGUGUAGCGGUGGAAUGCGCAGAUAUCAGGAGGAACACCGAUGGCGAAGGCAGGUCUCUGGGCUGUAACUGACGCUGAGGAGCGAAAGCAUGGGGAGCGAACAGGAUUAGAUACCCUGGUAGUCCAUGCCGUAAACGUUGGGCACUAGGUGUGGGGACCAUUCCACGGUUUCCGCGCCGCAGCUAACGCAUUAAGUGCCCCGCCUGGGGAGUACGGCCGCAAGGCUAAAACUCAAAGGAAUUGACGGGGGCCCGCACAAGCGGCGGAGCAUGCGGAUUAAUUCGAUGCAACGCGAAGAACCUUACCAAGGCUUGACAUGUUCUCGAUCGCCGUAGAGAUACGGUUUCCCCUUUGGGGCGGGAUCACAGGUGGUGCAUGGUUGUCGUCAGCUCGUGUCGUGAGAUGUUGGGUUAAGUCCCGCAACGAGCGCAACCCUCGUUCCAUGUUGCCCAGCACGUAAUGGUGGGGACUCAUGGGAGACUGCCGGGGUCAACUCGGAGGAAGGUGGGGACGACGUCAAAUCAUCAUGCCCCUUAUGUCUUGGGCUUCACGCAUGCUACAAUGGCCGGUACAAUGGGUUGCGAUACUGUGAGGUGGAGCUAAUCCCAAAAAGCCGGUCUCAGUUCGGAUUGGGGUCUGCAACUCGACCCCAUGAAGUCGGAGUCGCUAGUAAUCGCAGAUCAGCAACGCUGCGGUGAAUACGUUCCCGGGCCUUGUACACACCGCCCGUCAAGUCACGAAAGUCGGUAACACCCGAAGCCGGUGG